UGUGAUGAGUCUUUCACGUCAUUUCCUGUGU
This 31-nucleotide non-coding RNA is filed under the name Mus musculus (house mouse). The record is from RNAcentral. RNAcentral also lists the same sequence under 1 other name. Lineage: Eukaryota; Metazoa; Chordata; Mammalia; Rodentia; Muridae.